This is a long non-coding RNA of Platichthys flesus (European flounder), 724 nucleotides long. RefSeq lists it as uncharacterized. NCBI's taxonomy places the organism in Eukaryota, Metazoa, Chordata, Actinopteri, Pleuronectiformes, Pleuronectidae. The transcript is spliced from 3 exons. The record is from RefSeq and is a predicted model, not a curated record.
UUGCGAUAUGAAGACAUCUAUACAGAAAUCGUGACUUAAAAUGACAGCGCCCCCUGGUGGCAGCAGGAAAUGUAUAGCUGACACUCUGAUGUAUUCCUGCUCAUCCAAUAUGCAAAACCAUGUCAAACUUUGUUUAAUGGGUCUCAAGACAUUGAUAAUGUAGCCAUAAGAUUAUUGUGACUUUUUAUCAUGCGGUUUAUUAAUGGCAUGGCUUGAAAGUUCAUCAGCUCGUCGGAGAGAGUCCCAUUGAAUCCCAUGUUAAAAUGCCCAAUUUUAGAGUAGAAUUAAACCUGUUUACAGCAUUAUUCAAACUUUGGUUUUAGUCUCAAUCGCUAUGUUCUUCCUUCAUUAAAACUCUGAGGGGGUGAACUUUUUCGUAACUACCUCUAUAUCGCUAUAAUAAGCGAUAUAGUGGUUUGAAAUUUACGUGACGUCACAGUGAGCUGCGCCCUCCCUUCUCCUUACUUUUUCCUGUGUCAUUGAACACAACUCGAGACUUUCGAAACCUCCCACUCAGUAUCGGAUGAAUAACACAGUUUGAUGUUUUGCUUGUUCUGCUGACGGACACGUUAAAGACGUCUGCGCUCCCGUUUCUGUGCAUGUCCAGCAUGAGACAACUGGAAUUCAACCACAUUGAACACCGACUUCAGGGACAGACGAGCCUGAAGGACACAGCUGUGAUGACCAUGUUCUGUCUCUUAUGGCAAAGCAGAAAUAUAAAACA